AGAGUUUGAUCCUGGCUCAGGGCGAACGCUGGCGGCGCGCCUAACACAUGCAAGUCGAACGAGAGAGGGGGAGCUUGCUUCCUUGAUCGAGUGGCGAACGGGUGAGUAACGCGUGAGGAACCUGCCUCAGAGAGGGGGACAACAGUUGGAAACGACUGCUAAUACCGCAUAAGCCCACGACCCGGCAUCGGGAAGAGGGAAAAGGAGCAAUCCGCUGAAAGAUGGCCUCGCGUCUGAUUAGCUAGUUGGUGGGGUAACGGCCCACCAAGGCGACGAUCAGUAGCCGGUCUGAGAGGAUGAACGGCCACAUUGGGACUGAGAUACGGCCCAGACUCCUACGGGAGGCAGCAGUGGGGAAUAUUGGGCAAUGGGCGAAAGCCUGACCCAGCAACGCCGCGUGAAGGAAGAAGGCCUUCGGGUUGUAAACUUCUUUUACCAGGGACGAAGGACGUGACGGUACCUGGAGAAAAAGCAACGGCUAACUACGUGCCAGCAGCCGCGGUAAUACGUAGGUUGCAAGCGUUGUCCGGAUUUACUGGGUGUAAAGGGCGUGUAGGCGGAGAUGCAAGUUAGGAGUGAAAUCUAUGGGCUCAACCCAUAAACUGCUUCUAAAACUGUAUCCCUUGAGUAUCGGAGAGGCAAGCGGAAUUCCUAGUGUAGCGGUGAAAUGCGUAGAUAUUAGGAGGAACACCAGUGGCGAAGGCGGCUUGCUGGACGACAACUGACGCUGAGGCGCGAAAGCGUGGGGAGCAAACAGGAUUAGAUACCCUGGUAGUCCACGCUGUAAACGAUGAAUACUAGGUGUGGGGGGACUGACCCCCUCCGUGCCGCAGUUAACACAAUAAGUAUUCCACCUGGGGAGUACGACCGCAAGGUUGAAACUCAAAGGAAUUGACGGGGGCCCGCACAAGCAGUGGAUUAUGUGGUUUAAUUCGACGCAACGCGAAGAACCUUACCAGGACUUGACAUCCAACUAACGAAGUAGAGAUACAUCAGGUGCCCUUCGGGGAAAGUUGAGACAGGUGGUGCAUGGUUGUCGUCAGCUCGUGUCGUGAGAUGUUGGGUUAAGUCCCGCAACGAGCGCAACCCCUAUUGUUAGUUGCUACGAAAGAGCACUCUAGCGAGACUGCCGUUGACAAAACGGAGGAAGGCGGGGACGACGUCAAAUCAUCAUGCCCCUUAUGUCCUGGGCUACACACGUAAUACAAUGGUGGCCAACAGAGGGAAGCGAAGCCGUGAGGCGGAGCAAAUCCCUAAAAGCCAUCUCAGUUCGGAUUGCAGGCUGCAACUCGCCUGCAUGAAGCUGGAAUUGCUAGUAAUCGCGGAUCAGCAUGCCGCGGUGAAUACGUUCCCGGGCCUUGUACACACCGCCCGUCACACCAUGAGAGUCGGGAACACCCGAAGUCCGUAGUCUAACCGCAAGGGGGGCGCGGCCGAAGGUGGGUCCGGUAAUUGGGGUGAAGUCGUAACAAGGUA
Molecule: ribosomal RNA, 1476 nt
Filed under: metagenome
Description: bacterial SSU rRNA
Rfam family: Bacterial small subunit ribosomal RNA
Source: RNAcentral